AGAGUUUGAUCAUGGCUCAGGAUGAACGCUAGCGGCAGGCCUAACACAUGCAAGUCGAGGGGCAGCGGGGGUAGCAAUAUUUGGUGGCGACCGGCGCACGGGUGCGUAACGCGUAUACAAUCUACCUUAAACAGGGGGAUAGCCUUUCGAAAGAGAGAUUAAUACCCCGUAAUAAAUUGAAUGGCAUCAUUUGAUUUUGAAAGCUCCGGCGGUUUGAGAUGAGUAUGCGUCUGAUUAGCUAGUUGGUGAGGUAACGGCUCACCAAGGCGACGAUCAGUAGGGGAUCUGAGAGGACUAACCCCCACACUGGUACUGAGACACGGACCAGACUCCUACGGGGAGGCAGCAGUAAGGAAUAUUGGUCAAUGGAGGCAACUCUGAACCAGCCAUGCCGCGUGCAGGAUGACGGCCCUAUGGGUUGUAAACUGCUUUUAUACAAGAGAAAACCCUGGUACGUGUACCAGGUUGAUAGUAUUGUAAGAAUAAGCAUCGGCUAACUUCGUG
RNAcentral lists this ribosomal RNA (504 nucleotides) under uncultured bacterium. RNAcentral's name for it is "bacterial SSU rRNA". It matches the Rfam family "Bacterial small subunit ribosomal RNA", at positions 8 to 507 of the family's 1533-position model. The record is from RNAcentral.